GACGAACGCUGGCGGCGCGCUUAACACACGCAAGUCGAACGGAAAGGCCUGCUUUCCCUUGUGGAUUGCGGGUACUCGAGUGGCGAACGGGUGAGUAACACGUGAGUGAUCUGCCCCCAACUUGGGUAUAAGCCUGGGAAACUGGGUCUAAUUCCCGAUAGGACUGCAGGGUGGUGCCUGUGGUGGAAAACGAUUUUCUAGUGGUUGGGGAUGAGCUCGCGGCCUAUCAGCUUGUUGGUGGGGUAAUGGCCUACCAAGGCGGCGACGGGUAGCCGGCCUGAGAGGGUGGACGGCCACAUUGGGACUGAGAUACGGCCCAGACUCCUACGGGAGGCAGCAGUGGGGAAUAUUGCACAAUGGGCGGAAGCCUGAUGCAGCGACGCCGCGUGGGGGAUGACGGCCUUCGGGUGGUAAACUCCUUUCGACCGCGAGGAAGCCACCUGGUUGGAAGGGUGGUGACGGUAGUGGUAGAAGAAGCACCGGCUAACUACGUG
This 494-nucleotide ribosomal RNA is filed under the name uncultured bacterium. RNAcentral's name for it is "partial 16S ribosomal RNA". It matches the Rfam family "Bacterial small subunit ribosomal RNA", at positions 28 to 507 of the family's 1533-position model. The record is from RNAcentral.